Molecule: non-coding RNA, 1546 nt
Organism: Peromyscus maniculatus bairdii (prairie deer mouse)
Lineage: Eukaryota; Metazoa; Chordata; Mammalia; Rodentia; Cricetidae
Source: RefSeq, a predicted model, not a curated record
GCCGGAGCAACGCCAUCUCCGUUUCUGUCAUCGGGCUGUGGGAGGCUGUGGUGUGGCAGCGCUUCGGCCAGCGCGGCAGGCUGGGGGACAUCGGUGUCUCCUUCCCAGGUCCAGCUGCUGAUUGUGCCUGGAGAGCCAGGGCAGAGGCAAGGUGGAACCCUCUGGGCUGCUCACAUCAUCAGCUUCAGUCUCUGGAAAGACAGGUCAUUCAUUGCUGAGCAUGUCUUAGGUCUGUAAUGCCACCUGAGUCACUUCAGGACCUCAUGAUGUGUGGAUGGCAAGAACCUAGACACAUCCCACGCAGCCAGGUGGGGAAACCAAGGCUAGGGUGGAGAGUGGACUUGCAUGGAAGAAGCUGAGAAGUCCCUCCAAGCUGGCCUCCUGGCAAUGGGAGCAGAGCCAUUGGAGCAGAUGAAGAAUGUCAACAUCCCCUCUGCUGACUGGGGUUCCGAAGAAUCCUUAGAAUAAGCCUAAGCCCUGAGCUGAGCAAUUCAAGUUACCAGAGACAGGAUAGUGCCAGCAAUUGACCAGCAGGAUCCCCAGAGGCAGGUAGCCCUCCGCUGUGUGACCCUGGGUGACUCGCUGUCUGCAUUUGUCAUCAACGAGGCACUAGGCAGAGACCCUCCUCACAGCACUGACUGCCCAAGGGAGGACAUGCACAGAUUAGCAAGCAGCAACUGUCCAGCAGAGUAUGUUAUUCGGCUGCCGAAAGGGAUGGGAAUGACAGCAGGGAAAGGAAUGAAGUCCCAUCAUGUGUGACGAUGUAGAUAAACCACUGAAGGGCUAUGCUGUGAAAAACCCGACGCAAGAAUUCUGUGUGUCUGAGUCCGGUGGGUGCAGUAUGCAGACCAGGGGAGAAGCGGUCACCCAGCCCAGCCACGGCUGUGCCCAUCACCCUGCUCUGGCGAGCACACUUGCAUGAGAUGCACCAAAUGAACUUGGAGGUUCUCAUGCCCCAGGAUACAGAAAAGCGUAAGCUUGCCAAGAUCCUGCCCGUCACGGACGACGCGAUCCCGAAAAGCCACUGAAGGAGGAAGUAUGGGGACAGCUUUAAUAGACCAAACACAUCUAGGGGAGAAUGAGGAAGGCCAUCCAGGACAGAGGAACAGCACAGACAAAGGCAUGGAGGUCUGAAAAUACAGGCUGAACUUCAAGGAGAGCUGAGGGCCUGGCCCCUGAGUGUCACACACAGGCAGUGAGGUCCUGACAGCCGUCACUGGGCAGCAGUGGAAGCUGGUGAACAUGCUAGCCGUAUGAACUAUGUCCUGACCCGGGAGGGAGAGCCUCUCUAUAACUAAGGCCCGCCAAGGACUGGAACAUUGAGCUAAAGGUCCCCACAUGCCCCAGAGAAACUGCACCCCAUCCCCAGGAAGCACCAAACACUGCUUUUCUGUGCCCUUGCCUCCCCCAACCUGACACCCAUACAGCCCCGUCCUCCAUGUCCUAACACACUCCAGGGACUCUGUUUAGCUGCUCACUAGGCAUUCCCCUCUUCUCCGCUGCUCUACACAAGCAGGGUGUGUGUGUGUGUGUGUGUGUGUGUGUG